GGAGAAGUACUCAAGUGGCCGAAGAGGCUCCCCUGCUAAGGGAGUAGAUCUGCAAGGAUGCGAGGGUUCAAAUCCCUCCUUCUCCG
Molecule: transfer RNA, 86 nt
Filed under: Sedimentibacter hydroxybenzoicus DSM 7310
Lineage: Bacteria; Bacillati; Bacillota; Tissierellia
Rfam family: tRNA
About the family: Transfer RNA (tRNA) molecules are approximately 80 nucleotides in length. Their secondary structure includes four short double-helical elements and three loops (D, anti-codon, and T loops).
Source: Rfam by way of RNAcentral